UGCAAGUCGAACGCUGAAGCACCAGCUUGCUGGUGUGGAUGAGUGGCGAACGGGUGAGUAAUACGUGAGUAACCUGCCCUUGACUCUGGGAUAAGCCCGGGAAACUGGGUCUAAUACUGGAUGCUACAUGUCACCGCAUGGUGGUGUGUGGAAAGGGUUUACUGGUCUUGGAUGGGCUCACGGCCUAUCAGCUUGUUGGUGAGGUAAUGGCUCACCAAGGCGACGACGGGUAGCCGGCCUGAGAGGGUGACCGGCCACACUGGGACUGAGACACGGCCCAGACUCCUACGGGAGGCAGCAGUGGGGAAUAUUGCACAAUGGGCGAAAGCCUGAUGCAGCGACGCCGCGUGAGGGAUGACGGCCUUCGGGUUGUAAACCUCUUUCAGCAGGGAAGAAGCCACAAGUGACGGUACCUGCAGAAGAAGCGCCGGCUAACUACGUGCCAGCAGCCGCGGUAAUACGUAGGGCGCAAGCGUUGUCCGGAAUUAUUGGGCGUAAAGAGCUCGUAGGCGGUUUGUCGCGUCUGCUGUGAAAGCCCGGGGCUUAACCCCGGGUGUGCAGUGGGUACGGGCAGACUAGAGUGCAGUAGGGGAGACUGGAAUUCCUGGUGUAGCGGUGGAAUGCGCAGAUAUCAGGAGGAACACCGAUGGCGAAGGCAGGUCUCUGGGCUGUUACUGACGCUGAGGAGCGAAAGCAUGGGGAGCGAACAGGAUUAGAUACCCUGGUAGUCCAUGCCGUAAACGUUGGGCACUAGGUGUGGGGGACAUUCCACGUUUUCCGCGCCGUAGCUAACGCAUUAAGUGCCCCGCCUGGGGAGUACGGCCGCAAGGCUAAAACUCAAAGGAAUUGACGGGGGCCCGCACAAGCGGCGGAGCAUGCGGAUUAAUUCGAUGCAACGCGAAGAACCUUACCAAGGCUUGACAUAUACCGGAUCGUUCCAGAGAUGGUUC
RNAcentral lists this ribosomal RNA (950 nucleotides) under Kocuria palustris. RNAcentral's name for it is "bacterial SSU rRNA". It matches the Rfam family "Bacterial small subunit ribosomal RNA", at positions 56 to 1012 of the family's 1533-position model. Lineage: Bacteria; Bacillati; Actinomycetota; Actinomycetes; Micrococcales; Micrococcaceae. The record is from RNAcentral.